This 3357-nucleotide long non-coding RNA is filed under the name Acanthaster planci (crown-of-thorns starfish). RNAcentral's name for it is "uncharacterized LOC110982485". Lineage: Eukaryota; Metazoa; Echinodermata; Asteroidea; Valvatida; Acanthasteridae. The record is from RNAcentral.
CAGCAACGCAAUGGGCCAGUUUCGGGAACAAAGGAAAUUAUGGAACACCACACAAUACCGGGCUCUCUUUACUGGAUGGGAGGCCUGGCUGCAGUACCCUGGCGUCAAUGGAGAUUGCCUGUCAGAUUAGAGUAGCCACCAGACAGUCAUUCGUAUGGGUGUAAGCAUUCAGUAAAUGAAGUUAUGCAUUUUUGAACAAUUUGGAAAAUGGAAAAAUCAUGGAAAAUUGCCUGUCAACUCAUCCCGCAUGUGCAAAUUCCACCCGGCAGGAAGUGGUUAAUAGAUAUGGUGAAUAUGUGUUAGACUGUCAAUUUGUUCUCUUUUGCAAGUACUCAAUUUUUUUUUUUAAGGUGGUGACAGAAAAAAGAAAUGUAAGUCAUGAUACUUUUGUGCUUGUCAGGUUCCUUACACUUUGGUAAACAGUACAAGUAUUAUUUCACUGAUUUUUAAAAGCCAAAAAAAAUCCAGUCAGUAGAGGGUGCCUCUGUGGGUUGAUUUAAACCAGGGCAAACUUGGGCAAAGCGAAAACUUUAUGAGUUAAUUCAUAUGCUGACUAAAAGCCACAGUGCCAUUUGUGACCUACUCCAAAUUUCUCAGGCAGAAUGGAAACAUUGGGGAAAUGCCCAGUAAAAUCCAUAAAUCAACUUGAGUUACAAAGACGAGUUCAGUAGACUUUGUCACAAAUAUCUCCUAGUCAUUCUGAAGCCACUACCCCUCCCACAAGCAAAACGGGUCAGCUUGUGUUGAUGUGCUGAGUCAGCUAUUUAAAAGCAGUCUAAAGCUUGUGUUUGCUACUUUGUGUCUGCCCUUUCAGCCAGCAGCUGCAGUGGCAAAGGAAAACUGAAAACUCACAGAGAUUUUAACACGCACCGCGAAAGCAAAAGACACUGCCAAAGUGACUCAUAUAUUCUUGCAUCCUUACGUGGUCCAGAUUGGAGUGCAUAUCACCCUUGCUGCAGAAAGGCACUCUUCAGUGGCUACAGAACAAAAUGUCUAGAGAAUGGCUUUCUUUCCAGAAAUCGCUGGGUUUUGUUAACACUGUUGAAGUUAGGUUGUUGUGGGGUCUUAACCCGGCAUUCAGUUGAGGGGAGGGGAAUUGGAAUGCGUUCUACAGAGGAUUGGUCCCUCAAAAAAGAGCCGAGUCACAAUGCCAGGGGUUUUUUUUUGGUGUGUGUGUAUGGGAAAGCUUACUAGCUGUAGAGUUGUUGGAAUGGCAGGACUGGACCCCAUGAGACGUUUUCCCUGCCCUUUUUUUUUUUUGAAUACGUAAUGUGUGCCUGGGUUACCAGUGUGCUACCAUGUCAGUUGGGUUAGGCUACCAACUAAACCAGCUGUGGUGGUUGAGAUCCUCUUUGAGAUCUUCUCUCAAAUACUCCUGCAGUACUUGAGUCAGAUUCAGAGUGAAUGAGAAAUCAGUCACAGUGCUUUGACUCUGAACAUGCGAAACUGUUUGGAUUCUUUGCAUUGAUUUAUCCAGGUAUUGUGUGGGGGGGAAUGGAAUGAGCCAGUUCGGUAUUCCAACAGUGCAUACCCAGCAUGAGGCUAUUUGGGAACAGCUACGGGCAUGCGCUGUAGUCUGUCCUAUUAGGGCAGCCAUGUGCUGACUCAUGCAUGCGCUUUGUUCCUGAAAGAGCUUCUCUUUUAAAAUACUGAACCUGUUCGUUUCCUGAAAUGACCAUCCAACUUGUUCCCCCCCCCUUGCUGCAGGAUAUGUCAUUGAUUUGUUGUCGCUAUUAACCUCCCCGUGUCCUUCAAAAAAUGCUCAUGCGAGUUUGAAGGAUUUUGCGGGCUUGACAGGAAUUUGAGUUCAGCCUUUGUUUCUUCACAUGGGGCUUAAUGCUCCUUUUUUGGAAGCUGAAGUACAAGCAGGGUGCCAAAAAAUCGGGGGGGGGUCCUUAAAAAAAGAGUCACAAAGUAAUGUUUUGAAUAGGGUUAAACCAAUCUUUGAAUGAUAAUGAGAAGGUAUAAAAAGGUCAUCAAAGAAGCACUUGCCCGUCAAAAUGUAAAUGUUUACUUCUGAAUAUGCUUAAUCGUAAUAAUUCGACUUAAGUUUAGUUAUUCAUAUCACUGCUGUUUUCUAUUUCAUAAUGAUACUUGGCAGUCAAUUUACAAUUUGUAUGACUUAUGUGGUCUCUUAAAAUAACAACAGUGGAUAAAAAGGGGUGAAGUUCUGGAACAAACUGUCUUUUGGUCCUAAGUGCAUUCAGGCAUUUAAAUUUUACAGUUAUUUGCUCUUAAUUAAAUGACAAUCUUAAAGUAAUUUAUUAAAAUGACAAUUUCUUAAAGUAUCGUGAAAUCUAAUGUGCUUUUAAAUUUAAUAUUUUUUUUUUAAUUGUUGGGAUAAAGAGCAUUUUGGCUUAGUACUAAUAUGGAAAAUGUUGGAAAGGACUUAUAAUGAAUAAUGUUGCUGGAAUAUUUAACUCGUUGGAUUGUUACGUGUCUAAUUUUACCUUAAAUUAAUUGUGGCAUUGUUUGGUUUGUAGUUUUCACAAAGAAAGGGGGCAGAUUUCUAAAAAAAUCCCCUGUAGAAAAAAAGAAACAAAAUUUAGUCACUGCCAAUUAUUGAAAUCUCCAACUGUCCUUUGUUAAACUUGUGUUUUCUGUGGGAACAUAUUGGUAAUAGUCCAGUGUGGUGUUAAGUGUCUUGUAUUCAUGAGAAACACACAAUCUUUUUUUCUCCAGCUGAGAGUAAUUUUUUAUGUUAUUUUGUAUUUUGUGUAGUUCAAGGAAACAAGCACCCUAUCUUGGUGGAAUUUUGUGCACUUGUAAUGAUGACUUGUUUCACUGUCACAAAACAUGACUUCCUUUUUUUGUGUAGUUCAAGGAAAUAAGAAGCACCCUUACCUUGGUAGAAUUUUGUGCAUUUAUAACGAUGACUUGUUUCACUGUCACAAAAAGUUACUUUAUAAGUCCUUACUUUUGUAAUCCAUUGUAUGUUACUGUAUUUAGCUACUUCGUGCAUUCAUCUGCUGUUGCAGCAUAUUGGCUUUUUUUCACUGGAGUUAGUAACUGGCAUAUCUGAGAAUAAGUUGUUAUUUAAGUGUGCUUAGUGCAUGUAUUUACAUGACAACCCUUUGGUGAGACACACCAAGUCUUCUAUCCUCUGUUUGUCUUGCUGGUGAUUGGGUAGUGUUUGUUCUCAGAGCAGAGUCUAAAUCAGAAAUAGUGAAAGAACCACUUACAGCGUAUUUCAGAAAGACGCGGUGGAAGAGGUGACAGCUUUUUCAUCUGACUCUGUACAUCGUCACAUAGAAAUAUAGAAUUUAUGUUAAGGAAGAACUUUCUGGAAGGACAUGCUCAAUUUUGAAAUAUUUCUUAUUUGCAGAUGAAUAAUUAAAACACUUGUUAAACAUGCGA